This 468-nucleotide ribosomal RNA is filed under the name uncultured bacterium. RNAcentral describes it as "partial 16S ribosomal RNA". It matches the Rfam family "Bacterial small subunit ribosomal RNA", at positions 28 to 507 of the family's 1533-position model. The record is from RNAcentral.
GACGAACGCUGGCGGCGUGCUUAACACAUGCAAGUCGAACGGAAAGGCCCUGCUUUUGUGGGGUGCUCGAGUGGCGAACGGGUGAGUAACACGAGAGUAACCUGCCCUUGACUUUGGGAUAACUUCAGGAAACUGGGGCUAAUACCGGAUAGGAGCUCCUGCUGCAUGGUGGGGGUUGGAAAGUUUCGGCGGUUGGGGAUGGACUCGCGGCUUAUCAGCUUGUUGGUGGGGUAGUGGCUUACCAAGGCUUUGACGGGUAGCCGGCCUGAGAGGGUGACCGGCCACAUUGGGACUGAGAUACGGCCCAGACUCCUACGGGAGGCAGCAGUGGGGAAUAUUGCACAAUGGGCGGAAGCCUGAUGCAGCAACGCCGCGUGCGGGAUGACGGCCUUCGGGUUGUAAACCGCUUUCGCCUGUGACGAAGCGUGAGUGACGGUAAUGGGUAAAGAAGCACCAGCUAACUACGUG